Molecule: ribosomal RNA, 338 nt
Filed under: uncultured soil bacterium
Lineage: Bacteria
Description: bacterial SSU rRNA
Rfam family: Bacterial small subunit ribosomal RNA
Source: RNAcentral
AGAUUGAACGCUGGCGGCAUGCCUAACACAUGCAAGUCGAACGGGAGUAGCAAUACUCUAGUGGCGGACGGGUGAGGAAUACGUAGGAAUUUGCCCUUAAGUGGGGGAUAACCCGGGGAAACCCGGAUUAAUACCGCAUGACCUCGAAAGAGCAAAGUGGGGGAUCGCAAGACCUCACGCUCUUGGAGAAGCCUACGUCGGAUUAGCUAGUUGGUGAGGUAAUGGCUCACCAAGGCGACGAUCCGUAACUGGUCUGAGAGGAUGAUCAGUCACACCGGAACUGAGACACGGUCCGGACUCCGUACGGGAGGCAGCAGGUGGGGAAUUAUUGGACAAGU